Molecule: long non-coding RNA, 496 nt
Filed under: Gallus gallus (chicken)
Lineage: Eukaryota; Metazoa; Chordata; Aves; Galliformes; Phasianidae
Source: RNAcentral
GGGACGGCAAUGCGCAUCAGGGAGACGCGACAUGGCAGUGGCAGCAGAUACCGUGGAAACAACUCCGCCGCCGCCUUUUAGCGGACUGCCUGGGACUGUGGGCGCGCAUCCCCUUCUCUCUUUCUUUUCUUGGCACAGGAAGGUGGGGGGAAGAAGGGGAGACGACAAAGAAAAGCAAGGAAAACUCCGACAAACCCUCCAACCCCGUGCUAAAUGCUUUGGUAUACCUGUAAAUAAAUGAAUACAUAACCAGCAAGUUGUUGUUGUCAUGCCUUUUUUUUUUUAAAUAUGUGUAUGUGUAUACAUUUAUAUAUACACAUGUAUAUACAAAUUUCAGCCAGCAUCUGAGGUGAUGAAAAAACAUGGUAUGAAUUGCACACAGUGAAGCCAAGGGUGCCUUGGAACAAUUAACAGAGCAAUGCAAAACAGCCUUGCAAGUCUUCUAAGAAACAUCAUAGUAACAGCUUCCCUACCUGGCCUCCCCCUCUUAGAUUCC